MicroRNA precursor from Felis catus (domestic cat), 52 nucleotides. It matches the Rfam family "mir-1302 microRNA precursor family". Lineage: Eukaryota; Metazoa; Chordata; Mammalia; Carnivora; Felidae. The record is from Rfam.
UUUUUAGUAUAUGUAUCUCUCAUGCAAUUUUUGGGACAUACUUAUACUAAAA